GACGAACGCUGGCGGCGUGCUUAACACAUGCAAGUCGAACGGAAAGGCCCCGUCUGGGGGGGGCGAGUGGGUAACGGGUGGGUAACACGUAAGUAAGUUGCCCGUGACUGCGGGAGGACUACAUGAAAGUAGGGGGAGUACCUGAUAGGAAGGAUUUCUGCAUGGUGGGGGGUGGUAGGCUUCGGCGGUUGGGGAUGGACUCGCGGCGUAGCAGCUUGUUGGUGGGGUAGGGGCUGACCAAGGCCUUGACGGGUCGCCGGCCUGAGAGGGCGACCGGCCAAAUUGGGACUGAGAUACGGCCCGGACUCCUACGGGAGGCAGCAGUGGGGAAGAGUGCACAAUGGGCGGAAGCCUGAUGCAGCAACGCCGCGUGCGGGAUGACGGCCGUCGGGUUGUAAACCGCUUUCGCCUGUGACGAAGCGUGAGGGACGGUAAUGGGUAAAGAAGCACCGGCUAACUACGUG
RNAcentral lists this ribosomal RNA (464 nucleotides) under uncultured bacterium. RNAcentral's name for it is "partial 16S ribosomal RNA". It matches the Rfam family "Bacterial small subunit ribosomal RNA", at positions 28 to 507 of the family's 1533-position model. The record is from RNAcentral.